GUUCAGACUACGUCAGAAUCCAGGUAUGCUCAAUUUUGAUUGGAUAUCGAGGUUUUGUUUUGGUUGCUUAGAAAACUGAGUUCAAGGAAAACAAUAUUGUUUUCUAUUGCUAACACUACACUAAAAUGUGAUCGCUAAAACUCUUAACAUAAAGAAUACGGAAGCAAGAAUUUGUUGUUUUGCUCCAUUUUUCUCGAUAGCCAAACAGGGUUUAGAAAUCUGGUUUCUAUUUUUAUUUUUUUAGUUACCGGAUAGUGAUUGACGGCGUGAAACGUUUGUAGGCAAAUGGAUUGACGAGCG
Molecule: unclassified non-coding RNA, 300 nt
Filed under: Hevea brasiliensis (rubber tree)
Lineage: Eukaryota; Viridiplantae; Streptophyta; Magnoliopsida; Malpighiales; Euphorbiaceae
Source: RNAcentral